Molecule: ribosomal RNA, 253 nt
Filed under: uncultured bacterium
Lineage: Bacteria
Description: partial 16S ribosomal RNA
Rfam family: Bacterial small subunit ribosomal RNA
Source: RNAcentral
UACAGAGGGUGCGAGCGUUAAUCGGAGUUACUGGGCGUAAAGGGCGCGUAGGCGGUAGAUUAAGUGAGUAGUGAAAUCCCUGGGCUUAACCUAGGAAUUGCGACUCAUACUGGUUUACUGGAGUGCAGUAGAGGAUAGUGGAAUUUCCGGUGUAGCGGUGAAAUGCGUAGAUAUCGGAAGGAACACCAGUGGCGAAGGCGACUAUCUGGGCUGACACUGACGCUGAGGCGCGAGAGCGUGGGGAGCAAACAGG